UGAUAAAGUACCCUUCUUUGCUGACUAGG
This 29-nucleotide non-coding RNA is filed under the name Rattus norvegicus (Norway rat). Lineage: Eukaryota; Metazoa; Chordata; Mammalia; Rodentia; Muridae. The record is from RNAcentral.